RNAcentral lists this ribosomal RNA (1159 nucleotides) under Pseudoalteromonas sp. SW1. RNAcentral describes it as "bacterial SSU rRNA". It matches the Rfam family "Bacterial small subunit ribosomal RNA", at positions 301 to 1472 of the family's 1533-position model. Lineage: Bacteria; Pseudomonadati; Pseudomonadota; Gammaproteobacteria; Alteromonadales; Pseudoalteromonadaceae. The record is from RNAcentral.
UGAUCAGCCACACUGGGACUGAGACACGGCCCAGACUCCUACGGGAGGCAGCAGUGGGGAAUAUUGCACAAUGGGCGCAAGCCUGAUCAGCCAUGCCGCGUGUGUGAAGAAGGCCUUCGGGUUGUAAAGCACUUUCAGUCAGGAGGAAAGGUUAGUAGUUAAUACCUGCUAGCUGUGACGUUACUGACAGAAGAAGCACCGGCUAACUCCGUGCCAGCAGCCGCGGUAAUACGGAGGGUGCGAGCGUUAAUCGGAAUUACUGGGCGUAAAGCGUACGCAGGCGGUUUGUUAAGCGAGAUGUGAAAGCCCCGGGCUCAACCUGGGAACUGCAUUUCGAACUGGCAAACUAGAGUGUGAUAGAGGGUGGUAGAAUUUCAGGUGUAGCGGUGAAAUGCGUAGAGAUCUGAAGGAAUACCGAUGGCGAAGGCAGCCACCUGGGUCAACACUGACGCUCAUGUACGAAAGCGUGGGGAGCAAACGGGAUUAGAUACCCCGGUAGUCCACGCCGUAAACGAUGUCUACUAGAAGCUCGGAGCCUCGGUUCUGUUUCAAAGCUAACGCUUAAUAGACCGCCUGGGAGUACGCCGCAAGGUUAAACUCAAUGAAUUGACGGGGCCCGCACAAGCGGUGAGCAUGUGGUUAAUUCGAUGCAACGCGAAGAACCUUACCUACACUUGACAUACAGAGAACUUACCAGAGAUGGUUUGGUGCCUUCGGGAACUCUGAUACAGGUGCUGCAUGGCUGUCGUCAGCUCGUGUUGUGAGAUGUUGGGUUAAGUCCCGCAACGAGCGCAACCCCUAUCCUUAGUUGCUAGCGUAAGCUGAGAACUCUAAGGAGACUGCCGGUGAUAAACCGGAGGAGGGUGGGGACGACGUCAAGUCAUCAUGGCCCUUACGUGUAGGGCUACACACGUGCUACAAUGGCGCAUACAGAGUGCUGCGAACUCGCGAGAGCAAGCGAAUCACUUAAAGUGCGUCGUAGUCCGGAUUGGAGUCUGCAACUCGACUCCAUGAAGUCGGAACCGCUAGUAAUCGCGUAUCAGAAUGACGCGGUGAAUACGUUCCCGGGCCUUGUACACACCGCCCGUCACACCAUGGGAGUGGGUUGCUCCAGAAGUAGAUAGUCUAACGGGAGGACGUUUACCACGGAGUGAUUCAU